Molecule: ribosomal RNA, 254 nt
Filed under: uncultured bacterium
Lineage: Bacteria
Description: partial 16S ribosomal RNA
Rfam family: Bacterial small subunit ribosomal RNA
Source: RNAcentral
UACGUAGGGGGCGAGCGUUGUCCGGAGUUACUGGGCGUAAAGGGCACGCAGGCGGUGCGGCGCGUUUCGCGUGACAGCGGAGGGCUUAACUCUCCGAGGAUGCGAAAGACGGCGGCACUUGAGGGCCAGAGAGGGACACGGAAUUCCGGGUGGAGUGGUGAAAUGCGUAGAGAUCCGGAGGAACACCGAAGGCGAAGGCAGUGUCCUGGCUGGUGACUGACGCUGGAGGUGCGAAAGCUAGGGGAGCGAACGGG